GUUUCCCAUCCUACGCUUCCCGGUUGUUCAGCCCAUGGUGCUCUUGACUGAGCGUUUUGGGUGGCCGGAACGUUUACUUUGAAGAAAUUAGAGUGUUCAAAGCAGGCACGCCGCCUGAAUAAUGGUGCAUGGAAUAAUGGAAUAGGACCUCGGUCUUAUUUUGCUGGUUUUCCUGACUGCGAGGUAAUGAUUAAGAGGGACAGACGGGGGCAUCCGUAUUGCGGUGUUAGAGGUGAAAUUCUUGGAUCAUCGCAAGACGAACGACUGCGAAAGCAUUUGCCAAGCAUGUUUUCAUUAGUCAAGAACGAAAGUCAGAGGUUCGAAGACGAUCAGAUACCGUCGUAGUUCUGACCAUAAACGAUGCCAACUAGCGAUUCGCUGGUGUUGCUUCAUCGACUCCGCGGGCAGCUUCCGGGAAACCAAAGUUUUCGGGUUCCGGGGGAAGUAUGGUUGCAAAGCUGAAACUUAAAGGAAUUGACGGAGGGGCACCACCAGGAGUGGAGCCUGCGGCUUAAUUUGACUCAACACGGGAAAACUCACCCGGUCCGGACACUGUAAGGAUUGACAGAUUGAUAGCUCUUUCUUGAUUCGGUGGGUGGUGGUGCAUGGCCGUUCUUAGUUGGUGGAGCGAUUUGUCU
Molecule: ribosomal RNA, 638 nt
Filed under: Aliger gigas (queen conch)
Lineage: Eukaryota; Metazoa; Mollusca; Gastropoda; Littorinimorpha; Strombidae
Description: SSU rRNA
Rfam family: Eukaryotic small subunit ribosomal RNA
Source: RNAcentral